AACGCUGCGGCGUGCCUAUACAUGCAAGUAGAACGCUGAAGGAGGAGCUUGCUUCUCCGGAUGAGUUGCGAACGGGUGAGUAACGCGUAGGUAACCUGCCUGGUAGCGGGGGGAUAACUAUUGGAAACGAUAGCUAAUACCGCAUAAGAGUAGAUGUUGCAUGACAUUUGCUUAAAAGGUGCAAUUGCAUCACUACCAGAUGGACCUGCGUUGUAUUAGCUAGUUGGUGGGGUAACGGCUCACCAAGGCGACGAUACAUAGCCGACCUGAGAGGGUGAUCGGCCACACUGGGACUGAGACACGGCCCAGACUCCUACGGGAGGCAGCAGUAGGGAAUCUUCGGCAAUGGACGGAAGUCUGACCGAGCAACGCCGCGUGAGUGAAGAAGGUUUUCGGAUCGUAAAGCUCUGUUGUAAGAGAAGAACGAGUGUGAGAGUGGAAAGUUCACACUGUGACGGUAUCUUACCAGAA
RNAcentral lists this ribosomal RNA (471 nucleotides) under Streptococcus mitis. RNAcentral describes it as "bacterial SSU rRNA". It matches the Rfam family "Bacterial small subunit ribosomal RNA", at positions 32 to 488 of the family's 1533-position model. Lineage: Bacteria; Bacillati; Bacillota; Bacilli; Lactobacillales; Streptococcaceae. The record is from RNAcentral.